RNAcentral lists this ribosomal RNA (486 nucleotides) under uncultured bacterium. RNAcentral describes it as "partial 16S ribosomal RNA". It matches the Rfam family "Bacterial small subunit ribosomal RNA", at positions 28 to 508 of the family's 1533-position model. The record is from RNAcentral.
AUUGAACGCUGGCGGCAUGCCUUACACAUGCAAGUCGAACGGCAGCGGGCCCUUCGGGGUGCCGGCGAGUGGCGAACGGGUGAGUAAUGCAUCGGAACGUACCCGGGAGAGGGGGAUAACCGGCCGAAAGGCUGGCUAAUACCGCAUGAACUCGGAAGAGCAAAGCGGGGGACCUUCGGGCCUCGCGCUCUCGGAGCGGCCGAUGUCCGAUUAGGCUAGUUGGUGGGGUAAAGGCCCACCAAGGCGACGAUCGGUAGCGGGUCUGAGAGGACGAUCCGCCACACUGGGACUGAGACACGGCCCAGACUCCUACGGGAGGCAGCAGUGGGGAAUCUUGGACAAUGGGCGCAAGCCUGAUCCAGCAAUACCGCGUGGGUGAAGAAGGCCUUCGGGUUGUAAAGCCCUUUCGGCGGGGAAGAAAUCGGUCAGGCGAAUAGUCUGGCCGGAUGACGGUACCCGCAGAAGAAGCACCGGCUAACUACGUGC